Molecule: ribosomal RNA, 492 nt
Filed under: uncultured bacterium
Lineage: Bacteria
Description: partial 16S ribosomal RNA
Rfam family: Bacterial small subunit ribosomal RNA
Source: RNAcentral
AGUGAACGCUGGCGGUAGGCCUAACACAUGCAAGUCGAACGGCAGCACAGUAAGAGCUUGCUCUUACUGGUGGCGAGUGGCGGACGGGUGAGGAAUACAUCGGAAUCUACUUUUUCGUGGGGGAUAACGUAGGGAAACUUACGCUAAUACCGCAUACGACCUACGGGUGAAAGCAGGGGAUCUUCGGACCUUGCGCGAUUGAAUGAGCCGAUGUCGGAUUAGCUAGUUGGCGGGGUAAAGGCCCACCAAGGCGACGAUCCGUAGCUGGUCUGAGAGGAUGAUGAGCGACACUGGGACUGAGACACGGUCCAGACUCCGACGGGAGGCAGCGGUGGGGAAUAUUGGACAAUGGGCGCAAGCCUGAUCCAGCCAUACCGCGUGGGUGAAGAAGGCCUUCGGGUUGUAAAGCCCUUUUGUUGGGAAAGAAAAGCAGCAGGUUAAUACCCCGCUGUUCUGACGGUACCCAAAGAAUAAGCACCGGCUAACUUCGUG